AAUUAAAGACGGCUUAGUCCCUGGUACACAGGGAACGGAGGAACCAAUUUUUUGGGGUUAAUUCUGCAGCAGCAGAAAGGAUGAGAAACUCUUUCGCCAUCCUACCCGUCAGCUAACUUCGUCGGCUAAAGCGAAGGAGGUC
RNAcentral lists this small RNA (142 nucleotides) under Bacillus sp. (in: firmicutes). Its description in RNAcentral is "Bacillus sp. c-di-AMP sequence". It matches the Rfam family "c-di-AMP riboswitch aptamer (ydaO/yuaA leader)". From Rfam's summary of the family: This family represents a conserved RNA structure found upstream of the ydaO and yuaA genes in Bacillus subtilis and related genes in other bacteria. The ydaO/yuaA element is thought to act as a genetic "off" switch for the ydaO and yuaA genes in its native state. It is believed that the element may be triggered during osmotic shock leading to activation of ydaO, a predicted amino acid transporter gene, and members of the yuaA-yubG operon which code for KtrA and KtrB K+ transporters. Lineage: Bacteria; Bacillati; Bacillota; Bacilli; Caryophanales; Bacillaceae. RNAcentral also lists the same sequence under 1 other name. The record is from RNAcentral.